This 369-nucleotide long non-coding RNA is filed under the name Chinchilla lanigera (long-tailed chinchilla). RNAcentral's name for it is "lncRNA (ENSCLAG00000026111.1)". Lineage: Eukaryota; Metazoa; Chordata; Mammalia; Rodentia; Chinchillidae. The record is from RNAcentral.
AGUACAUUUUAAAAACAAUAAUCAUUGAGUCUUGGGAUUUUAACUUUCAGGUUCUCAGAGUCCAUCUAUACAGACUCUUCCUGAGGAAACUGACAUCCAUGAAAGUGAAAGCAAGUUUAUCAAGACUGUGAGAUCAUAUAUUCAGAAAACGGCUUCAGAGACAAGCACAUCCAGCUCACAUCAAAUCCUACUCUCAGAAGUAGCAGGAAGAUACUCUUGGGCCAAAGGGAAGGAAGAACCAUUUCAUGUGGAUGCUGUCACGUUUACCUUUCUCCAAGAAGAGGAAGGCCGAGGAAACCAAAAUUUCUAUGCGAGGCAGGUACUUUAAAUACUUUAUUUAAAAAAAUCCUAGCACCACAUCUGAGAAAG